UACAUUACAUUUCUAUACUGUACUUAUACAUGACUGAACUAAACAUAACAUCUCAACAUUAUUCAUGUUCACACUAUCUAUUACAUAACCAAGACUUCAUUACUCUUGCUGACCUCCUGGUCUACCCUGUACCUGCAAACCUGGGGUUAAGGGAGAGGGGUGAGCUAUAAAGCCCAGUGAGCAGAAUAAUAAAACAUUUAAAACAUAUGAUAACAUGGAAUGCAUCACAUCACA
This 234-nucleotide long non-coding RNA is filed under the name Manihot esculenta (cassava). RNAcentral's name for it is "long non-coding RNA (MESC_LNC009138)". Lineage: Eukaryota; Viridiplantae; Streptophyta; Magnoliopsida; Malpighiales; Euphorbiaceae. The record is from RNAcentral.